This 464-nucleotide ribosomal RNA is filed under the name uncultured bacterium. RNAcentral's name for it is "partial 16S ribosomal RNA". It matches the Rfam family "Bacterial small subunit ribosomal RNA", at positions 28 to 507 of the family's 1533-position model. The record is from RNAcentral.
GAUGAACGCUGGCGGCGUGCUUAACACAUGCCAGUCGAACGAUGAAGCCCAGCUUGCUGGGUGGAUUAGUGGCGAACGGGUGAGUAACACGUGAGUAACCUGCCCUUAACUCUGGGAUAAGCCUGGGAAACUGGGUCUAAUACCGGAUAGGAGCGUCCACCGCAUGGUGGGUGUUGGAAAGAUUUAUCGGUUUUGGAUGGACUCGCGGCCUAUCAGCUGUUGGUGAGGUAAUGGCUCACCAAGGCGACGACGGGUAGCCGGCCUGAGAGGGUGACCGGCCACACUGGGACUGAGACACGGCCCAGACUCCUACGGAGGCAGCAGUGGGGAAUAUUGCACAAUGGGCGAAAGCCUGAUGCAGCGACGCCGCGUGAGGGAUGACGGCCUUCGGGUUGUAAACCUCUUUCAGUAGGGAAGAAGCGAAAGUGACGGUACCUGCAGAAGAAGCACCGGCUAACUACGUG